RNAcentral lists this ribosomal RNA (495 nucleotides) under uncultured bacterium. RNAcentral describes it as "partial 16S ribosomal RNA". It matches the Rfam family "Bacterial small subunit ribosomal RNA", at positions 28 to 507 of the family's 1533-position model. The record is from RNAcentral.
GACGAACGCUGGCGGCGUGCCUAAUACAUGCAAGUAGAACGCUGAAGGAGGAGCUUGCUUCUCCGGAUGAGCUGCGAACGGGUGAGUAACGCGUAGGUAACCUGCCUGGUAGCGGGGGAUAACUAUUGGAAACGAUAGCUAAUACCGCAUAACAGUAGAUGUUGCAUGACAUUUGCUUAAAAGGUGCAAUUGCAUCACUACCAGAUGGACCUGCGUUGUAUUAGCUAGUUGGUGAGGUAACGGCUCACCAAGGCGACGAUACAUAGCCGACCUGAGAGGGUGAUCGGCCACACUGGGACUGAGACACGGCCCAGACUCCUACGGGAGGCAGCAGUAGGGAAUCUUCGGCAAUGGACGGAAGUCUGACCGAGCAACGCCGCGUGAGUGAAGAAGGUUUUCGGAUCGUAAAGCUCUGUUGUAAGAGAAGAACGAGUGUGAGAGUGGAAAGUUCACACUGUGACGGUAUCUUACCAGAAAGGGACGGCUAACUACGUG